Molecule: ribosomal RNA, 449 nt
Filed under: uncultured bacterium
Lineage: Bacteria
Description: SSU rRNA
Rfam family: Bacterial small subunit ribosomal RNA
Source: RNAcentral
AGAGCGAACGCUGGCGGCAGGCCUAACACAUGCAAGUCGAGCGGCCGUAGCAAUACGGCAGCGGCAGACGGGAUAGUAACACGUGGGAACGCGCCCUUCGGUUCGGAAUAACUCAGGGAAACUUGAGCUAAUACCGGAUACGCCCUUACGGGGAAAGAUUUAUUGCCGAAGGAACGGCCCGCGUCCGAUUAGCUAGUUGGUGAGGUAAUGGCUCACCAAGGCUCCGAUCGGUAGCUGGUCUGAGAGGAUGACCAGCAUCACUGGGACUGAGACACGGCCCAGACUCCUACGGGAGGCAGCAGUGGGGAAUAUUGGACAAUGGGCGCAAGCCUGAUCCAGCCAUGCCGCGUGGAUGAUGAAGGCCUUAGGGUUGUAAAGUCCUUUUAACGGGGAAGAUAAUGACGGUACCCGUAGAAUAAGCCCCGGCUAACUUCGUCGCCAGCAGCCGC